AGUGAACGCUGGCGGUAGGCCUAACACAUGCAAGUCGAACGGCAGCACAGUAAGAGCUUGCUCUUACGGGUGGCGAGUGGCGGACGGGUGAGGAAUACAUCGGAAUCUACUUUUUCGUGGGGGAUAACGUAGGGAAACCUACGCUAAUACCGCAUACGACCUACGGGUGAAAGCAGGGGAUCUUCGGACCUUGCGCGAUUGAAUGAGCCGAUGUCGGGUUAGCUAGUUGGCGGGGUAAAGGCCCACCAAGGCGACGAUCCGUAGCUGGUCUGAGAGGAUGGUCAGCCACACUGGAACUGAGACACGGUCCAGACUCCUACGGGAGGCAGCAGUGGGGAAUAUUGGACAAUGGGCGCAAGCCUGAUCCAGCCAUCCCGCGUGGGUGAAGAAGGCCUUCGGGUUGUAAAGCCCUUUUGUUGGGAAAGAAAAGCAGCAGGUUAAUACCCCGCUGUUCUGACGGUACCCAAAGAAUAAGCACCGGCUAACUUCGUG
RNAcentral lists this ribosomal RNA (492 nucleotides) under uncultured bacterium. RNAcentral describes it as "partial 16S ribosomal RNA". It matches the Rfam family "Bacterial small subunit ribosomal RNA", at positions 29 to 507 of the family's 1533-position model. The record is from RNAcentral.